GUUGAUGAAAGGCUCAUUGAAGAAAGCUCUUUUCACCAACAAAACUGCGGGAUUUGAAGAGGUGACUGUGUUACACUAUUGGGUAUGUCCCAUGUCACCAAACCAAGACUUAACUGUGGCUUCAACUCUCCCAGAAAUGGAAUCUUCAACCAGUCAAAUAGGAAUCGCCAGAUCAGCACUAGUUAGGUAACACCAGGUAAAUGUGAAAAACACCAUCCAGCUGAGCAUAAUGACCGAUGGAAGAAUAUACAAAACACCUUCUCUCUCUUACCCCAUUUUACCCAAUGCAUUGCCUACUGUAUUCCAACUUUGUGGACUUUCUCAGUAAAACAUGAGUAAGUGUCCUGAUUAUAAGUAGGAAAAAGGAAAAGCCUUCAGUAUUGCGAAGUUUCGAAACAAG
Molecule: long non-coding RNA, 400 nt
Filed under: Equus asinus (donkey)
Lineage: Eukaryota; Metazoa; Chordata; Mammalia; Perissodactyla; Equidae
Description: lncRNA (ENSEASG00005038239.1)
Source: RNAcentral